GGGCACUGACGAGGGCGGGGAGUGAUCGCCGGUGCAAGAAGCAUGGUGCAAGGGGCACGGACAAGGAGCGGCUCCUGGCAGGCUUCAAGUGGAAGGGGCACAUGGACGAAUCGAACAUACACCGGAAUGAGAGGGAUCUGGAGACUCUAUAGGUAUGAGACUAUACAGUUGAAGGAUAACUUAAAGGAAUUGAUUUGGCUACCCAUAUCACCAAAAUGCAUUUACUUUUCGGUAGCCUAACCCUUAAGAACUCCAUGGUUAAGCGUG
Molecule: long non-coding RNA, 267 nt
Filed under: Vigna radiata
Lineage: Eukaryota; Viridiplantae; Streptophyta; Magnoliopsida; Fabales; Fabaceae
Description: long non-coding RNA (VRAD_LNC005728)
Source: RNAcentral